Molecule: ribosomal RNA, 1697 nt
Filed under: Epiplatys grahami
Lineage: Eukaryota; Metazoa; Chordata; Actinopteri; Cyprinodontiformes; Nothobranchiidae
Description: 16S ribosomal RNA
Rfam family: Bacterial large subunit ribosomal RNA
Source: RNAcentral
ACCUAACAGCUAGCCUAUAAUCAAAUUUCAACACAACUAUAUUAAUAGCCCUUAACAUCCUAGAUAAUUAUUAAUCAAACCAUUUUUCCUCCUAAGUAUAGGCGAUAGAAAAGGAACAUUUUUAGAGCUAUAGAAAAAGUACCGCAAGGGAACGCUGAAAAAGUUAAUGAAAAAAUCCAGUAAAGUAAUAAAAAGCAGAGAUAAUUCCUCGUACCUUUUGCAUCAUGAUUUAGCAAGUCUAUAUUAAGCAAAAAGAAUUCUAGUUUAACUUCCCGAAAUUAAGUGAGCUACUCCAAGACAGCCUUAAAAUAGGGCCAACACAUCUCUGUAGCAAAAGAGUGUGAAGAGCUUCGAGUAGAGGUGAUAAACCUACCGAACUUAAUGAUAGCUGGUUGCCUAAAAAAUGAAUAUAAGUUCAGCCUUUAUUUUUCUUAAUCUUCCUAUGGAUAUAUCUUCAUAAAUACACAAAGAAAAAUAAAGAGUUAUUCAAAAGAGGAACAGCUCCUAUGAAAUAAGAAACAACUUUACAAGAAGGAUAAUGAUCAUAAUUUAUUAAGGUAUAUGUUUUAGUGGGCCUAAAGGCAGCCAUCUAAAAAAAUAGCGUUAAAGCUUACACAUUUCUCAACCAAUAAUAACGAAAACUAUAUCAUAUUCCUCUAAAUUUAUUAGGCUAUUCUAUCUAAUAGAAGAAAUUAUGCUAAUAUGAGUAAUAAGAGGUCCUACCUCUCCUAGGCAUAAGUGUAUCUCGGAACGGAAAAUUCCACCGAAAAUUAAUCGAACCCAAUAAAAGAGGGCAUUGAAAUAGAAAGAGAUAACUAGAAAACAUUUCAAACUAAACCGUUAACCCUACACUGGUAUGCAAAUAUUGAAAGGAAAGAUUAAAAGAAAAAGAAGGAACUCGGCAAACUUUUUAAGCCUCGCCUGUUUACCAAAAACAUCGCCUCUUGAAUAUUAAAUAUAAGAGGUCCCGCCUGCCCUGUGACUUAAUGUUUAACGGCCGCGGUAUUUUGACCGUGCAAAGGUAGCGCAAUCAAUUGUCUUUUAAAUGAAGGCCUGUAUGAAUGGCAUAACGAGGGCUUAACUGUCUCCUUUUUCUAAUCAAUGAAAUUGAUCUUCCCGUGCAGAAGCGGGAAUUUUUACAUAAGACGAGAAGACCCUAUGGAGCUUACAAACGCAAGAACAGAUUAAUCCUACUAAAUCUAGAAUAACUAAAUUUAUUAAACCAAUUAACUACUGCUCAAGUGUUUUUGGUUGGGGCGACCACGGAGUAAAAUUUAACCUCCACGCAGAAUGAAAAUAUCAUUUUUCAAUUUAAGGAAAACAACCCUAAAACCCAGAAUUUCUGACUUUUAUUGAUCCGGCAAAGCCGAUUAACGAACCGAGUUACCCUAGGGAUAACAGCGCAAUCCUCUUUUAGAGUUCCUAUCGACAAGGGGGUUUACGACCUCGAUGUUGGACCAGGACAUCCUAUUGGUGCAGCCGCUAUUAAGGGUUCGUUUGUUCAACGAUUAAAGUCCUACGUGAUCUGAGUUCAGACCGGAGCAAUCCAGGUCAGUUUCUAUCUAUGAUAUGUUCCUCUCUAGUACGAAAGGACCGAGAAGAAAAGGCCUCUACUUAAAGUAAGCCUUUCUCCUAUUUAAUGAAAACAACUAAAUUAAAUAAAGGGGCAUACCCUUUGAAAGCUUAGAUAACGCUGU